GCGGAGGAAAAGAAACCAACAGGGAUUGCCCUAGUAACGGCGAGUGAACAGGCAAGAGCUCAGAUUUGAAAGGCACUUUUGUGCCGUUGUAUUCUGAAGUUAGGGUCCUGAGAAACGAUGCUUAAGUCUUCUGGAAAGGAGCGCCAUGGAGGGUGAUAGCCCCGUCUAGCAUUGACCUCAUAUAGGAUCUUAACAUGGAGUCGAGUUGUUUGGGAAUGCAGCUCAAAUGGGUGGUAUGCUCCAUCUAAAGCUAAAUAUCUGCGAGAGACCGAUAGUAAACAAGUACUGUGAGGGAAAGAUGAAAAGAACUUUGAAAAGAGAGUGAAAAAGUACGUGAAAUUGUUGAAAUGGAAGGGUAGGCCGCUAACCAUGUAGAGCCGUGUUUGGGGGGAAGAUAAAUGCUGUAGAAUGUAGCUCCUCGGAGUAUUAUAGAUGCAGUUCAUAUUCCCACCCGAGCGCGAGGAUCUCAGGUUCUACUAAAUGGUGGUCUACCACCCGUCU
RNAcentral lists this ribosomal RNA (501 nucleotides) under Starmerella bacillaris. RNAcentral describes it as "partial large subunit ribosomal RNA". It matches the Rfam family "Eukaryotic large subunit ribosomal RNA", at positions 50 to 654 of the family's 3401-position model. Lineage: Eukaryota; Fungi; Ascomycota; Dipodascomycetes; Dipodascales; Trichomonascaceae. The record is from RNAcentral.